Molecule: long non-coding RNA, 557 nt
Filed under: Homo sapiens (human)
Lineage: Eukaryota; Metazoa; Chordata; Mammalia; Primates; Hominidae
Description: non-protein coding lnc-KRT17-2:1
Source: RNAcentral
AUCUGGGAGCUCUGGGCCACAUGGAAAACCCAACUCCCUCCCUGUCCCCGUAUGCGGGCAGAGAGCCCAGGCCACCCAUGCACUUCUCUCCCCUCUCCUGUUCCGCGGGCCCUGGCUGCCCUGGGAAGCUCCACAUUCAGACAGGCCUGGUGCAGACGCCGGUGUCCUGGCAGCACCUAAAUCAUUAGUGCCGCGGAGAUUAGGAUACUAAUCUCCUUGUUGGGUGGAGCGGUGCCAGCCACCAGCCUGCGGAUCAUGCUGCUCUUUUGCAGGGGCCGUUCCUCGGGGCAUGACGCUGGCUCCUGCACAGAUCCUGCUCCUCUGUGGCCUUCCUGGGCUGCCCUCCCCUCCUCCGGGACUGCUCUGGACUGACAUUGCUCAGGCUGGAGUGCAAUGGUGUGAUCUCGGCUCACUGCAACCUCCACCUCCCAGGUUCAAGCUAUUCUCCUGCCUCAGCCUCCUGAGUAGCUGGGAUUACAGAUCCUGGUGGCUGUGGUCGGUAAUUCCAGCUUCGUGCUGGCUACAGGUGGAUGAUGCCCACCUGGCUGCCGAUGACC